Long non-coding RNA from Mytilus californianus (California mussel), 1021 nucleotides. RefSeq lists it as uncharacterized. Lineage: Eukaryota; Metazoa; Mollusca; Bivalvia; Mytilida; Mytilidae. The record is from RefSeq and is a predicted model, not a curated record. The transcript is spliced from 2 exons.
AACAAGAGUGCACACGCUGAAAUGUCUCGCCUUCUUUACUAAUCAUUGAUAUUAUGUUGAUAGUCCUAAAUAUAAAGCUUUAUUACAACUGUCACAUAAACUUAACAUUAACCAAGUAAACUAAACAUUGACCAAUGAACCAUGAAAAUGAGGUCAAGGUCAGAUGAACCAUGCUAGGCAGGCAUGUACAGCUAACAAUUCUUCCAAACAACAAAUAGAGUUGACCUAUUGCUUAUAGUUUAAGAAAAACAGACCAAAACACAAAAACUUAACACUGAGCAAUGAACCUUGAAAAUGAGGUCAAGGUCAAAUAAAACCUGCGUGACUGCCAAAUAGAUCAUAAAAUAUUUCCAUACACCAAAUAUAGUUGAACUAUUGCAUAUAGUAUAAGAAAAACAGACCAAAACACAAAAACUUAACUAUAACCACUGAACCAUGAAAAUGAGGCCAAGGUCAGAUGACACCUGCCAGUUGGACAUGUACACCUUACAGUCCUUCCAUACACCGAAUAUACUAGACCUAUUGCUUAUAGUAUCUGAGAUAUGGACUUGACCACCAAAACUUAACCUUGUUCACUGAUCCAUGAAAUGAGGUCGAGGUCAAGUGAAAACUGUCUGACGGGCAUGAGGACCUUGCAAGGUACGCACAUACCAAAUAUAGUUAUCUUAUUACUUAUAAUAAGAGAGAAUCUAACAUUACAAAAAAUCUGAACUUUUUUUUCAAGUAGUCACUGAACCAUGAAAAUGAGGUCAAGGACAUUGGACAUGUGACUGACGGAAACUUCGUAACAUGAGGCAUCCAUAUACAAAGUAUGAAGCAUCCAGACCUUCCACCUUCUAAAAUAUAAAGCUUUUAAGAAGUUAGCUAACGCCGCCGCCGCCGCCGCCGCUGCCGCCGCCGGAUCGCUAUCCCUAUGUCGAGCUUUCUGCGACAAAAGUCGCAGGCUCGACAAAAAUUAAUUAUGAUGAAAAAAUUGUACAAAUAAAAUGUGUAAUUAAACAAUGGUCAAAACGAAAUCUUA